This 506-nucleotide ribosomal RNA is filed under the name uncultured bacterium. Its description in RNAcentral is "partial 16S ribosomal RNA". It matches the Rfam family "Bacterial small subunit ribosomal RNA", at positions 28 to 523 of the family's 1533-position model. The record is from RNAcentral.
GAUGAACGCUAGCUAUAGGCUUAACACAUGCAAGUCGAGGGGUAACGAGAGGAAAGCUUGCUUUCCUUGUCGACGACCGGCGCACGGGUGAGUAACGCGUAUCCAACCUGCCCCCAACUAAGGAAUAACCUUGCGAAAGUAAGACUAAUACCUUAUAAUUUCCUCAGAUGUCAUCUGACGAGGAAUAAAGAUUUAUCGGUUGUGGAUGGGGAUGCGUCUGAUUAGCUUGUUGGCGGGGUAACGGCCCACCAAGGCAACGAUCAGUAGGGGUUCUGAGAGGAAGGUCCCCCACAUUGGAACUGAGACCCGGUCCAAACUCCUACGGGAGGCAGCAGUGAGGAAUAUUGGUCAAUGGGCGGAAGCCUGAACCAGCCAAGUAGCGUGCAGGAUGACGGCCCUAUGGGUUGUAAACUGCUUUUAUACAGGAAUAAAGUUAGCCACGUGUGGUUAUUUGUAGGUACUGUAUGAAUAAGGACCGGCUAAUUCCGUGCCAGCCGCCGCCGUAA